Molecule: transfer RNA, 85 nt
Filed under: Dehalococcoidales bacterium
Lineage: Bacteria; Bacillati; Chloroflexota; Dehalococcoidia; Dehalococcoidales
Description: tRNA-Tyr
Rfam family: tRNA
About the family: Transfer RNA (tRNA) molecules are approximately 80 nucleotides in length. Their secondary structure includes four short double-helical elements and three loops (D, anti-codon, and T loops). Further hydrogen bonds mediate the characteristic L-shaped molecular structure. tRNAs have two regions of fundamental functional importance: the anti-codon, which is responsible for specific mRNA codon recognition, and the 3' end, to which the tRNAs corresponding amino acid is attached (by aminoacyl-tRNA synthetases). tRNAs cope with the degeneracy of the genetic code in two manners: having more than one tRNA (with a specific anti-codon) for a particular amino acid; and 'wobble' base-pairing, i.e. permitting non-standard base-pairing at the 3rd anti-codon position.
Source: RNAcentral
GGAGGGGUGGGUGAGCGGUUAAUACCAACAGACUGUAAAUCUGUCGUCCGAAAGGGCUACGCAGGUUCGAAUCCUGCCCCCUCCA